This 330-nucleotide ribosomal RNA is filed under the name uncultured bacterium. Its description in RNAcentral is "bacterial SSU rRNA". It matches the Rfam family "Bacterial small subunit ribosomal RNA", at positions 568 to 898 of the family's 1533-position model. The record is from RNAcentral.
UGUGUAGGCGGUGUUCUAAGUCUGGUGUGAAAUCUCCCGGCUCAACUGGGAGGGUGCGCCGGAAACUGGAAUGCUCGAGUGUGGGAGAGGUAAGCGGAAUUCCUGGUGUAGCGGUGAAAUGCGUAGAUAUCAGGAGGAACACCUGUGGUGUAGACAGCUUACUGGACCGCGACUGACGCUGAGACACGAAAGCGUGGGUAGCAAACAGGAUUAGAUACCCUGGUAGUCCACGCCCUAAACGAUGCAUACUUGGUGUGAGCGAUUCAUUUCGUUCGUGCCGGAGCUAACGCGUUAAGUAUGCCGCCUGGGGAGUACGGUCGCAAGGCUGAA